This 305-nucleotide ribosomal RNA is filed under the name uncultured bacterium. RNAcentral describes it as "bacterial SSU rRNA". It matches the Rfam family "Bacterial small subunit ribosomal RNA", at positions 333 to 652 of the family's 1533-position model. The record is from RNAcentral.
UUUAGCCUACGGGAGGCAGCAGUAAGGUAUAUUGGUCAAUGGGGGAAACCCUGAUGCAGCAACGCCGCGUGAAGGAAGACGGUUUUCGGAUUGUAAACUUCUUUUCUUAGUGAAGAAGCAAGUGACGGUAGCUAAGGAAUAAGCAUCGGCUAACUACGUGCCAGCAGCCGCGGUAAUACGUAGGAUGCGAGCGUUAUCCGGAAUUACUGGGUGUAAAGGGAGCGCAGGCGGGACUGCAAGUUGGAUGUGAAAUACCGCAGCUUAACUGCGGAGCUGCAUCCAAAACUGUAGUUCUUGAGUGGAGG